AUACGAAGGGGGCUAGCGUUGUUCGGAAUCACUGGGCGUAAAGCGCGCGUAGGUGGAUCAAUUAGUUGAGGGUGAAAUCCCGGGGCUCAACCUCGGAACUGCCUUCAAUACUGUUGAUCUUGAGACCGAGAGAGGUGAGUGGAAUUCCUAGUGUAGAGGUGAAAUUCGUAGAUAGUAGGAAGAACACCAGUGGCGAAGGCGGCUCACUGGCUCGGUACUGACGCUGAGGUGCGAAAGCGUGGGGAGCAAACAGGAUUAGAAACCCCAGUAGUCC
Molecule: ribosomal RNA, 274 nt
Filed under: uncultured bacterium
Lineage: Bacteria
Description: partial 16S ribosomal RNA
Rfam family: Bacterial small subunit ribosomal RNA
Source: RNAcentral